UUUUGUUUCCCGAUAUCAAACAGAGUCGCGUGUUUCACGGCCUGUUCUUUAGUACCUCGUCAUGUGCACACCGAUUAUAUGAAAGAGCUACAGAAAUGAGUGUGAUCAUGUUAAACAGAGUUAUCAAUGCGAUAAGCAAAGGUAACCUCAAGGUCGAAAUACACUGUCUACAUCCCUACAUCUUUGUCACAGUUUAUAUUACUGUAUUACUGACAGUGAAAUCACAUACAAAUACUGUGCAUAAAUACGCAUUAUUACAAUUCAUGUAAUUAAAAUGUAACUGGAUGUCCAUUUCAUGAUGUUUCGCUGCUGAUUAUGUUUUCCAUGAUAAUACCGCUCUAGAGUCGUAUCUUCAAGUCUCAGACGAACUGCCACCUAUCCUAAUAGGAACUCAUUCGUGAUUAUCUCGUCCCCCUAGGCCAAAGACUGAGAGCUUCCUUCCAAAUAUCUAUCUAACAUUCGUCAUGCUUUGCAUAUCAUCAAAUAUUCGAAUGCAACGAAAUGACUGAAAAAAUCGGGGUGUGGCUGUGUCGGGGACACGGCCGUGGGUUUUACGUGAAUACGUCUGCGUUAGCGGGUAAUAUUUUCUUUGGGAUAUGGGAAUGAAAUGAAAGUAGCGAAAUGGAUACAUGGCUUUUAUUUAGCAUAACAAAUAUACAGAGUAUUGCUCGCGCCGUCGUUUGCCGCGCGCGCCGCGUCGACUUUCCGACGUUCCCGAAGCCGUCUCACUCGUUCCGCCACGGACAUGGCGGUACUGAUCGAUGGCUGAUUAGACGCCCUUUCCGAUGAGAUGCGUUUCUUGUAUUUCCUCUGGGCUUUUCGGUGAGUAUGGGCCGACAUCAGAAAGUUUAAAUUUUUCAAGACUUAUUUUUGAUUUGUCACCAACAAAUAUUUUACAAGUUUUUAUGGCUUAAAUCGACAGAUCUAGACGAGAUCUUUCGUUUGGCACCAAAAGCAGCGCGCUAGCUCAUUGGAGUCACGAGAUAUACUGCCCGGAAAUUUUCGCCCACGCCCCCCGCGCAUGCGCGGCGCCAACUCAAGGUCAUGCUCGCAUCGUAGUCGUAUAUCCGAUCGAACGUGACCACAUUUAUUUUAAUCGUGUUAUUAUUCACGAAGUUAUAGUGUCGUAAUGGAUCACCCUGCAAACGUUACAUCGCCAUUUCCGUCCUGGUACCCCAUACGUCGGUCUGAUUUUAAAGACGUAUUCACGUCAAAAACUAAGAGGCGAUAGAUAACAUGUGAGGAAAUCGAAAGCCACAGACCAGACCACGGUGUGCAUUCUUGCGCCCGUCGAUAGAUGGAAGCAGCAUACAUGGAUUCAAUGCAAUACUUCACGUCAGAUGGCAACGAGAGAGUAACUACACAAUAUUAGAGUCCGGCCGGACAGUAAACGGACAGUCUUUGUUCACGUCGGGCCGUUAAAAAAGUCCUACGUUUUAUUUUCGUUUUGACGGCAGCAGUGUUAUUUUUAAUGUGGAUUAUCUGCACCAAAUAACAAACAAGUGGCUGAAAACUGGUUGAACACAAACAAGAAAAAUUGACAGUGGAACCACGGUUCCGGAGAAUCUCACGUAAAUACGUCUCUGUAUAAAGGAUAUACAUGCUUUACAAUUGAUUCUUCUUGGUCAUCUUUCUGGUUCGGUUGCAAUCUCUGGGUCUGCAUGUCUUACAUCAGUGAAAUACCCAGUUCCAUUCUGAAAGAGACCGGCAAUCAGUGUUCUUCAGGCCUAUCAAAAAAAUACCAGUGUAUUAACUUACACUGGACGACUACCGUAGCAAAAUACAUGCAAUAUCUUGUAUUAAUCGGCUAAACAACCAUACUGCAGAUAUUCAUCAGUUUUUUGCAUGCUACAAAUAAACAUGGUGACGAUGCGAAAUCUGUCAUUAAAGACAAUUAUAAGCGGCUCUACGUCUGUAACUUGUAUAAUUAUUGAAAUUGUAUCAUCCACUAAAAAUUCAAUGUAUCUGAAGGUUAAUAAAAUAUAAUUUUUAAUA
Long non-coding RNA from Zootermopsis nevadensis, 1995 nucleotides. RefSeq lists it as uncharacterized. The record is from RefSeq and is a predicted model, not a curated record. Lineage: Eukaryota; Metazoa; Arthropoda; Insecta; Blattodea; Termopsidae.